AUCUCAGCUCGGGAGUCUGAAAUGCUCCAUUAAAUCACCGCACAGGCAACGGGAAUGCCAGGUACUCCACCCUGGUGCCUAACCUUGACCUGGAGGGUUCAUCUCUCAAGGUCUGAGGGUAGUUCAGCCUCCAUGCCCCCCGGGGCCCUGUACACA
Unclassified non-coding RNA from Chrysemys picta bellii (western painted turtle), 156 nucleotides. The record is from Ensembl. NCBI's taxonomy places the organism in Eukaryota, Metazoa, Chordata, Testudines, Emydidae.